This is a non-coding RNA of Punica granatum (pomegranate), 1389 nucleotides long. Lineage: Eukaryota; Viridiplantae; Streptophyta; Magnoliopsida; Myrtales; Lythraceae. The record is from RefSeq and is a predicted model, not a curated record.
UGGGAUCACUUACGAGCUAGAUGUUGGAAGGUGUUACUACAACUCUUCGAGAUGUCCAAGUUUGUUACUCCUCUUUUUGCAUGCAUGCCUUAAUGUCUCAAGCCCAAGACCAAUUUGCUCUGCCCAUAAUGACCUGAAUUUUACCCAAUGUUUCGAUCGAUUUUCAUUUGUCAGGAAGAUCAUUUUAAGCAUGUUGAAAAAGAGACAAAUCCUAGUCGGGCAUUCACUAGCUAGAGAAUAAACUUGUUGGCACCUAUCACAAUUUGGUAAUUGAUACGGCAGUACUCUAACAAGCCCCCGCCUGGUUAAUCAUACAAGCCCGCUCUAAGGAUACUUGCCUGGAGAUUUCUCUCCAAGGAGAUGAAACAGUCAGGGAAUGGACAUUGAUAGUAUUGAAGAUGCGCAAGAUCGGCUGUGGAACUAUCUCUAUUAAAAAUUAGACAUGGACCUGAAUUUGGUACCUCUCCUUCAUUCAUGCGCCAGAAGCUUCUUUCGGUUCUGAGCGACUCGGGCAAGAAUUCCUCAUUCGUCGACGAGAUUUCAACCGUGAAGAAAUAUUCCUCAGGGUCAUCACAUUCCUUUCCCCUGUGCUCUCAUGAUGAAGAACUUGUCAAUGGAGGUGAAAAAUAAUGAAUGGGUACACUGUGUCUGGAUCCAGUUCUCCGAACUGAAUUGAUACUUAGAGAACCAAGCAAAGGAUUAAGAGGAGUUGAAUGGGAGACUUGCGGAAAUGGUGUAUUUGCUAACAUGCCCGAAGAAUUCCUCAAAAAGAAAAGAUGCCAAAUGCAAACCUGAACUAUAGGAAGUACUAUCAUGGAUUGACUCGAGAAUCCGCAGCCCGUACGCAGCUUUUCCCAUGAAUACUAUGCUAACAAUCUGUACAGUCCACGGAGACACGCCUAUUGUUUGCUGGUAAUGCGAUUACUCUGACCUCACGCCAAAAUUCCCUCUAUGUGCCUUUUCUUUUGAAAUCCCAAAUCAAAAUUCAUUCUAUGCUGUGAAGAUUGAGGAAGCUGCUGAAUGAUGAGACAGAGACGACAGUAAGGCCGAGAGGCUAUUGUAAAGGUGUCGCAAGAGCUCCAGGCCUGGGCUGAGGUAGCUCUAUGUUUCGUCGGUGUUAAGCAUUGACAUAAGAUGACUUCCUUCUCAUUGCCUGUGAUAUACUACAACCUCGCGUACGCAUUUGGUUGUAGAAAAAGGAUAAUCAAAUGUAACUUAGGUUUUCUGAGCAUGUCAAAUGAGAAACGGAGAUGCCAGUAUAAGAUUAUGUUGAUGGAUCCGGAGCAGAAGUUGCAACACUUUUGGAUCUUUUCUGACAAUAGUUUAGUUUAUCCUUUGAGGUGAAUAUAUUUCGUGAAACACAAUUUGAUCGGCUCUCACAUUCACUUC